Molecule: ribosomal RNA, 828 nt
Filed under: uncultured Actinomycetes bacterium
Lineage: Bacteria; Bacillati; Actinomycetota; Actinomycetes
Description: bacterial SSU rRNA
Rfam family: Bacterial small subunit ribosomal RNA
Source: RNAcentral
CAAGUGGAGCGACGAACCGGGCUUCGGCCCGGGGCAAAGCCGCGAACGGGUGAGUAUCACGUGGGUAACCUGCCCCGAUGACCGGGAUAACCCGAGGAAACUCGAGCUAAUACCGGAUGUGCUCCCAAUCCAUCAGGGUUGGGAGUAAAGGAAGCUUCGGCCUCCGCAUUGGGAUGGGCCCGCGGCCCAUUAGCUUGUUGGUGAGGUAACGGCUCACCAAGGCAACGAUGGGUAGCUGGUCUGAGAGGACGAUCAGCCACACUGGGACUGAGACACGGCCCAGACUCCUACGGGAGGCAGCAGUGGGGAAUCUUGCGCAAUGCGCGAAAGCGUGACGCAGCAACGCCGCGUGAGGGAAGAAGGCCUUCGGGUUGUAAACCUCUUUCAGGAGGGACGAAGGUUCAGGCGCGAAUAGCGUCCUGGACUGACGGUACCUCCAGAAGAAGCCCCGGCUUGCUACGUGCCAGCAGCCGCGGUAAUACGUAGGGGGCUAGCGUUGUCCGGAAUCAUUGGGCGUAAAGCGCGCGUAGGCGGCCCGGUAAGUCCGCUGUGAAAGUCAAAGGCUCAACCUUUGAAUGUCAGCGGAUACUGCCGGGCUAGAGUCCGGAAGAGGCGAGUGGAACUCCUGGUGUAGCGGUGGAAUGCGCAGAUAUCAGGAAGAACACCAACGGCGAAGGCAGCUCGCUGGGACGGAACUGACGCUAAGGCGCGAAAGCGUGGGGAGCGAACAGGAUUAGAUACCCUGGUAGUCCACGCCGUAAACGAUGGGCACUAGGUGUGGGAGGUGUCGACUCCUCCGUGCCGGCGCUAACGCAUUAAGUGCCCGCC